This 854-nucleotide ribosomal RNA is filed under the name Tricladium chaetocladium. Its description in RNAcentral is "eukaryotic LSU rRNA". It matches the Rfam family "Eukaryotic large subunit ribosomal RNA", at positions 71 to 942 of the family's 3401-position model. Lineage: Eukaryota; Fungi; Ascomycota; Leotiomycetes; Helotiales; Tricladiaceae. The record is from RNAcentral.
GGGAUUACCUCAGUAACGGCGAGUGAAGCGGUAACAGCUCAAAUUUGAAAUCUGGCUCUUUCAGGGUCCGAGUUGUAAUUUGUAGAAGAUGCUUCGGGUGUGGCUCCGGUCUAAGUUCCUUGGAACAGGACGUCAUAGAGGGUGAGAAUCCCGUAUGUGACUGGGUGCCUUCGCUCAUGUGAAGCUCUUUCGACGAGUCGAGUUGUUUGGGAAUGCAGCUCAAAAUGGGUGGUAAAUUUCAUCUAAAGCUAAAUAUUGGCCAGAGACCGAUAGCGCACAAGUAGAGUGAUCGAAAGAUGAAAAGCACUUUGGAAAGAGAGUUAAACAGUACGUGAAAUUGUUGAAAGGGAAGCGCUUGCAACCAGACUUGCCCGCCGUCGAUCAUCCGGGGUUCUCCCCGGUGCACUCGGCGGCGUUCAGGCCAGCAUCGGUUUCGGGGGUGGGAUAAAGGCCUUGGGAAUGUAGCUUCUUUCGGGGAGUGUUAUAGCCCUCGGUGCAAUGCCGCCACCCGGGACCGAGGACCGCGCUUCGGCUAGGAUGCUGGCGUAAUGGUUGUAAGCGACCCGUCUUGAAACACGGACCAAGGAGUCUAACAUCUAUGCGAGUGUUUGGGUGUCAAACCCAUACGCGUAAUGAAAGUGAACGGAGGUGAGAACCCUUAAGGGCGCAUCAUCGACCGAUCCUGAUGUCUUCGGAUGGAUUUGAGUAAGAGCAUAGCUGUUGGGACCCGAAAGAUGGUGAACUAUGCGUGAAUAGGGUGAAGCCAGAGGAAACUCUGGUGGAGGCUCGCAGCGGUUCUGACGUGCAAAUCGAUCGUCAAAUUUGCGUAUAGGGGCGAAAGACUAAUCGAACCA